UCCCUGGUGGCUCAGACGGUAAAGCGUCUAUCUAUGAUGUGGAAGACCUGGGUUCGAUCCCUGGGUUGGGAA
This 72-nucleotide transfer RNA is filed under the name Bos taurus (domestic cattle). It matches the Rfam family "tRNA". From Rfam's summary of the family: Transfer RNA (tRNA) molecules are approximately 80 nucleotides in length. Lineage: Eukaryota; Metazoa; Chordata; Mammalia; Artiodactyla; Bovidae. RNAcentral also lists the same sequence under 2 other names. The record is from Rfam by way of RNAcentral.